GGGGUGAGGGUACGAGAGGGGUGAUUAGGGGAAAAAGAAUGAAAUAGAAAAGAAAUAAAGAUUAAAAGAUAAGGAAAAAUGGCAACAAAACAAGCACAACUCUCUUCUCUUUAGAAACUCCUUCUUCUCCUUCAUUCUUUUCGUCAUUUUUCCUCUCAUCUUUUCAUUUUCUCCUUUAGAUCUCCUCUUUGGGCGAUCACCGAUAAGUUUCUCACUGGUGGCUGCUUGGUACCCCAAGAUCCAUAUAUCUCCUCAAAUCUAUAACCAUUAGAAACACAUCUGAGAUUCUCUCCUCAAUAUUGGAAUCCUACCCUCCCCAUUACUGAAGUCUUAUUUUCUCACCCUUAGCAGGGUUUUGUUUGUUUCUGGCUGUAUUUAAUGGACUUUUUAGCAAUUCAAGAUACAGCAUGGAUCGUUGAAUCCUUUUGAUCAGAGACUUUAGAUUUUCAAAUACAAGUAAUGAUUUCUAUCAAUGAAGCCUAGUAGUACAACCUAUUCAUUCAUUGAGAUUUAGUGAUUUCAAUUCUUCUGUAAGCCACAGAGGUAGCAAGUUUUUGAAAGGGCAGUGUUACAUAAGGUUUAUUUGAUCGUCCAAAAUGAAAACGGACUAAUUACUAUCUAGAAAAU
RNAcentral lists this unclassified non-coding RNA (627 nucleotides) under Hevea brasiliensis (rubber tree). The record is from RNAcentral. Lineage: Eukaryota; Viridiplantae; Streptophyta; Magnoliopsida; Malpighiales; Euphorbiaceae.